GAUGAACGCUGGCGGCGUGCCUAAUACAUGCAAGUCGAGCGAACAGACGAGGAGCUUGCUCCUCUGACGUUAGCGGCGGACGGGUGAGUAACACGUGGAUAACCUACCUAUAAGACUGGGAUAACUUCGGGAAACCGGAGCUAAUACCGGAUAAUAUAUUGAACCGCAUGGUUCAAUAGUGAAAGACGGUUUUGCUGUCACUUAUAGAUGGAUCCGCGCCGCAUUAGCUAGUUGGUAAGGUAACGGCUUACCAAGGCAACGAUGCGUAGCCGACCUGAGAGGGUGAUCGGCCACACUGGAACUGAGACACGGUCCAGACUCCUACGGGAGGCAGCAGUAGGGAAUCUUCCGCAAUGGGCGAGAGCCUGACGGAGCAACGCCGCGUGAGUGAUGAAGGUCUUCGGAUCGUAAAACUCUGUUAUUAGGGAAGAACAAAUGUGUAAGUAACUAUGCACGUCUUGACGGUACCUGAUCAGAAAGCCACGGCUAACUACGUG
RNAcentral lists this ribosomal RNA (497 nucleotides) under uncultured bacterium. Its description in RNAcentral is "partial 16S ribosomal RNA". It matches the Rfam family "Bacterial small subunit ribosomal RNA", at positions 28 to 507 of the family's 1533-position model. The record is from RNAcentral.